Molecule: ribosomal RNA, 253 nt
Filed under: uncultured prokaryote
Description: partial 16S ribosomal RNA
Rfam family: Bacterial small subunit ribosomal RNA
Source: RNAcentral
UACGGAGGGUGCAAGCGUUAUCCGGAUUUACUGGGUUUAAAGGGUGCGUAGGUGGGUAGAUAAGUCAGCGGUGAAAUCUCCAGGCUUAACUUGGAAACUGCCAUUGAUACUAUCUGUCUUGAAUAUCCUGGAGGUGAGCGGAAUAUGUCAUGUAGCGGUGAAAUGCUUAGAUAUGGCACAGAACACCGAUCGCGAAGGCAGCUCACGAGGGCGAAACUGACGCUGAGGCACGAAAGCGUGGGGAUCGAACAGG